UGAUAGCUGUGAAGCGUGAGGUUGCUGCCGAAGCAAAAACAUAAGCCAGGCAGGUUUUCCGUGGAGCGAAUGUCAAGUUAGGAAACUGGCGACAA
This 95-nucleotide non-coding RNA is filed under the name uncultured Lachnoclostridium sp. Its description in RNAcentral is "S10-Clostridia ribosomal protein leader". It matches the Rfam family "S10-Clostridia ribosomal protein leader". The record is from RNAcentral. Lineage: Bacteria; Bacillati; Bacillota; Clostridia; Lachnospirales; Lachnospiraceae.